Molecule: ribosomal RNA, 611 nt
Filed under: Salmonella enterica
Lineage: Bacteria; Pseudomonadati; Pseudomonadota; Gammaproteobacteria; Enterobacterales; Enterobacteriaceae
Description: partial 23S ribosomal RNA
Rfam family: Bacterial large subunit ribosomal RNA
Source: RNAcentral
GGGUUGUGAGGUUAAGCGACUAAGCGUACACGGUGGAUGCCCUGGCAGUCAGAGGCGAUGAAGGGCGUGCUAAUCUGCGAUAAGCGCCGGUAAGGUGAUAUGAACCGUUAUAACCGGCGAUACCCGAAUGGGGAAACCCAGUGUGAUUCGUCACACUAUCAUUACGUGAAUACAUAGCGUAAUGAAGCGAACCGGGGGAACUGAAACAUCUAAGUACCCCGAGGAAAAGAAAUCAACCGAGAUUCCCCCAGUAGCGGCGAGCGAACGGGGAGGAGCCCAGAGCCUGAAUCAGCAUGUGUGUUAGUGGAAGCGUCUGGAAAGGCGCGCGAUACAGGGUGACAGCCCCGUACACAAAAGCGCAUGUGUUGUGAGCUCGAUGAGUAGGGCGGGACACGUGGUAUCCUGUCUGAAUAUGGGGGGACCAUCCUCCAAGGCUAAAUACUCCUGACUGACCGAUAGUGAACCAGUACCGUGAGGGAAAGGCGAAAAGAACCCCGGCGAGGGGAGUGAAAAAGAACCUGAAACCGUGUACGUACAAGCAGUGGGAGCACCCUUUGGGGUGUGACUGCGUACCUUUUGUAUAAUGGGUCAGCGACUUAUAUUCUGUAGCA